Molecule: long non-coding RNA, 577 nt
Organism: Papaver somniferum (opium poppy)
Lineage: Eukaryota; Viridiplantae; Streptophyta; Magnoliopsida; Ranunculales; Papaveraceae
Exons: 4
Source: RefSeq, a predicted model, not a curated record
UCUAGAAUUCCAGAUUGACACGUACGUGUCAUAACCUCCUUUAAUCUCUCGCAACAAUUUCAGCGUAGGUAUCCUUUUUGCGAUUUCGCAUAACUUCCCAAAUUAGAAGAGACAGAAAAAUGCAACACAGUGCUGGUUGGUUUCCCCUAAUUACUUCUGUUCUUCUGUCCAUGAAGAAGAGGCAUAUACUAUCGAACAUCACAAAAAUCUACAAAUCGGCUGUUUAUGGUCUGCUCCGUGUGUUUUGUGGGUUCAAUGGAUUUUAGUGACUGGUCACCCGAGUUUGAUUUAAACUUUUGGUCUUUCACCAACAGGAAGAACAGCUAAUGAUAUCUAUUUUGUCCGUGCAAGGAACAUUUUUAAUACCACAAUGCUUGCCCCAUUGCCAACUAUUGCUGAUCGUAGUUCCAGAAAAUUGAAGUUAAAUCAUGGGACCUCCAACCUCCACACACAUUUUGUACAAAACACACAUUGAGUUUGUGCCUCUUUUUGUUUGCAGCCUAUACUGAGAAUUCAGCUAGAGAUUAUGGUACUUCCAUUGACAUUUAUAAAGUUAACAUUCUAAAUUUUUGGUUUA